This 447-nucleotide ribosomal RNA is filed under the name uncultured bacterium. Its description in RNAcentral is "bacterial SSU rRNA". It matches the Rfam family "Bacterial small subunit ribosomal RNA", at positions 1049 to 1502 of the family's 1533-position model. The record is from RNAcentral.
CCGUCGUCAGCUCGUGUCGUGAGAUGUUGGGUUAAGUCCCGCAACGAGCGCAACCCUUGUCAUUAGUUGCUACGCAAGAGCACUCUAAUGAGACUGCCGGUGACAAACCGGAGGAAGGUGGGGAUGACGUCAGGUCCUCAUGGCCCUUAUGGGUAGGGCUACACACGUCAUACAAUGGCCGGUACAGAGGGCUGCCAACCCGCGAGGGGGAGCCAAUCCCAGAAAACCGGUCGUAGUCCGGAUCGUAGUCUGCAACUCGACUGCGUGAAGUCGGAAUCGCUAGUAAUCGCGGAUCAGCUUGCCGCGGUGAAUACGUUCCCGGGUCUUGUACACACCGCCCGUCACACCAUGGGAGCGGGUUCUGCCAGAAGUAGUUAGCCUAACCGCAAGGAGGGCGAUUACCACGGCAGGGUUCGUGACUGGGGUGAAGUCGUAACAAGGUAACCA